RNAcentral lists this unclassified non-coding RNA (1071 nucleotides) under Hevea brasiliensis (rubber tree). Lineage: Eukaryota; Viridiplantae; Streptophyta; Magnoliopsida; Malpighiales; Euphorbiaceae. The record is from RNAcentral.
CGCACAACUUCCUUAUAAAAACCCCAAACUCACCGCCAAUCACGCAGCCUGUCCGUGCCUUCUUUCCUCCUCUCCAAAGCUAAAACCCUACAGAACAUUCACGCGCAAAUCCCAUUAUCAAUAUGUGAUUUAGGCCGCACAGGAAUCGAAGUUACAUCAAGAACUCUGCAAUGGGUCAAGAACAAGAAGGAGGAGGAGCUGAAGAGUACUUGUUCAAGAUUGUGCUAAUAGGUGACUCUGCUGUGGGAAAAUCUAAUUUACUAUCCAGGUUUGCAAGAAAUGAGUUUGAUAACAAUUCUAAGGCUACUAUUGGGGUAGAGUUUCAGACCCAGGUGGUGGAUAUUGAUGGCAAACAAAUCAAGGCACAGAUCUGGGACACUGCUGGCCAAGAGAGGAACAGAACAAUAACAGACCCUUUUUAUAGGGGUGCCGACGGGAUCAUUUUUGUUUAUGAUGUGACACAGAAAAGAUCCUUUACCAGCAUAACAAGCUUCUGGACUAAAGAAGUAGAACAACGCUCCCCAAAGAAGGAUUGCGUCAAGAUAUUAGUUGGAAAUAAAGUUGAUAAAUGUCAGGAGUCUCAAAAAGAAGUAAGUACUGAAGAAGGAAUGGCUUUGGCAAAACAGCAUGGAUUUUUAUUUUUUGAAUCGAGUGCUAAAACUAAAGAAAAUGUGAUGAAAUGCUUUCAAGAACUGGCACUCAAGAUGUUGGAGCAAUUACAAAAGCAAAGGCAGGAGGAAUUAGAGAAGAAAAGGAAAGAGGAAGAAGAAAAGAAACAACGAGAGACACCAAAGAAUAAACCACCAGAGCAACAGGAACCUAAACCUAAACCCGAAUCUAAAUCUACAACUGAAUCCCAACCAUCUUCAUACACUGGAGUGCCAGGUGGUGGCAGCGGUGGAGGUAAAGGUGGCUGUUGUUAAAAAUCUGAGUUAUUUAGUUAUUGUUUAAAUCCGAUCUAUCAUAAACCAAUGACAGAAUAUAUAUAUAGUAAUAUUCAUAUGUAAAAUAAGUGGAAUCUACUUGCUUGUAUUUUAAAUCAUGAUGAAUUAAGUUUUGCAAACCUUUUAU